GCCUGUACCUGGGUGGGGUUUAUUGGUGAUUAUGAAGGCCAAUGGCCUAGGUUUGGCUUUCCCAUUGCACUACGGCUUGGCCGGCCUACCAUCUUCCCAAAGUGGAGGAGUGGACGUUGUAAUUUGAGGGC
This 131-nucleotide small nuclear RNA is filed under the name Selaginella moellendorffii. RNAcentral's name for it is "U1 spliceosomal RNA". It matches the Rfam family "U1 spliceosomal RNA", at positions 6 to 136 of the family's 166-position model. Rfam says of the family: U1 is a small nuclear RNA (snRNA) component of the spliceosome (involved in pre-mRNA splicing). The record is from Rfam by way of RNAcentral. Lineage: Eukaryota; Viridiplantae; Streptophyta; Lycopodiopsida; Selaginellales; Selaginellaceae.